RNAcentral lists this ribosomal RNA (541 nucleotides) under uncultured bacterium. RNAcentral describes it as "bacterial SSU rRNA". It matches the Rfam family "Bacterial small subunit ribosomal RNA", at positions 355 to 896 of the family's 1533-position model. The record is from RNAcentral.
UGAGGAAUAUUCGGUCAAUGGACGGAAGUCUGAACCAGCCAAGUAGCGUGCAGGAUGACGGCCCUAUGGGUUGUAAACUGCUUUUGUAUGGGGAUAAAGUUAGGGACGUGUCCCUAUUUGCAGGUACCAUACGAAUAAGGACCGGCUAAUUCCGUGCCAGCAGCCGCGGUAAUACGGAAGGUCCAGGCGUUAUCCGGAUUUAUUGGGUUUAAAGGGAGCGUAGGCUGGAGAUUAAGUGUGUUGUGAAAUGUAGACGCUCAACGUCUGAAUUGCAGCGCAUACUGGUUUCCUUGAGUACGCACAACGUUGGCGGAAUUCGUCGUGUAGCGGUGAAAUGCUUAGAUAUGACGAAGAACUCCGAUUGCGAAGGCAGCUGACGGGAGCGCAACUGACGCUUAAGCUCGAAGGUGCGGGUAUCAAACAGGAUUAGAUACCCUGGUAGUCCGCACAGUAAACGAUGGAUGCCCGCUGUUGGUACCUGGUAUCAGCGGCUAAGCGAAAGCAUUAAGCAUCCCACCUGGGGAGUACGCCGGCAACGGUG